This is a long non-coding RNA of Leopardus geoffroyi (Geoffroy's cat), 108 nucleotides long. RefSeq lists it as uncharacterized. Lineage: Eukaryota; Metazoa; Chordata; Mammalia; Carnivora; Felidae. The transcript has 3 exons. The record is from RefSeq and is a predicted model, not a curated record.
GACAAGAAACAAUUAUCUCAAACUGACAUUGAUUGUCAAUCCAAACUCUUAAACUAUCACUAAGUUUUAAACUAGACUACUUCUCAGUCAUCUUUAUCCCCGAGCAGA